Peromyscus maniculatus bairdii (prairie deer mouse) is the source of this 573-nucleotide long non-coding RNA. RefSeq lists it as uncharacterized. The record is from RefSeq and is a predicted model, not a curated record. NCBI's taxonomy places the organism in Eukaryota, Metazoa, Chordata, Mammalia, Rodentia, Cricetidae.
UCCACCUUUGAAUUGUCUCACGCCAUACAGGGUCUAGCGCACGUCAGACUGCGUGCAUGAGUGCGUGCGCGUGCGUGAAGUGCGUGCGCGUGCGUGCAAGCUUGCCUGCGAGCUUGAGUGCGUGCCUGUGUGGUUUUCUGCGCCUGCAAGGUUUUCUGCGAGGGUCUGUGGAUACUACUAACCUGAGAAAGGUUAAAGUCUCCAACCUACUGCUGAAUCCUCGGGGAGAUUCCUGUGCCACCCAUUGUACCGCCUCCUGAGAGAACUGGUUGUGGAGUCUUGUCCAGAGUGUAUGAGAAGGAAGAGAGGCACCAGGCAUUAGGGUGAGGAUGCUCUCAACCUUCCCGGGCUCUGUUCUCCAAAGGGUCCUGGCCCCUUGAUGGGGUGAACACCACAGUAAACCAGCAAGGCCAUGAUUCUACAAAUUUCAGUUAAUGAAUGAAUGUACGAUAUAGUGGAAUAUUAUUCAGCAUUGGAAAUGGAAGGUAAUUCUGACUUAAUUUGUUUCAUGGUUAAAUGCUGAUGACAUGCUAUAUGAAAUAAAUAAGAAACCAGGUGGUAAGUGCUAUGAAA